Cyprinus carpio (common carp) is the source of this 165-nucleotide long non-coding RNA. RefSeq lists it as uncharacterized. Lineage: Eukaryota; Metazoa; Chordata; Actinopteri; Cypriniformes; Cyprinidae. The record is from RefSeq and is a predicted model, not a curated record. The transcript has 3 exons.
CAUGGAAUAGAGUCCCAGGGUGGCGUCCGGGGUGGAAUGUUCUCCUCGGUCUACUUCAUUGUUCUUACACUGUUUGGAAACUACACACUUCUCAAUGUAUUCUUGGCCAUUGCUGUGGAUAACCUUGCCAAUGCACAGGAGCUGACAAAGGAUGAAGAGGAACAA